RNAcentral lists this ribosomal RNA (825 nucleotides) under Triticum aestivum (bread wheat). Its description in RNAcentral is "partial small subunit ribosomal RNA". Lineage: Eukaryota; Viridiplantae; Streptophyta; Magnoliopsida; Poales; Poaceae. The record is from RNAcentral.
AUGUGCAUCCCUAAAGUAUGGGGUGGUAUGGGUUUCCGUGAUAUCAAUUUCAAUCUUGCAAUGCUUGCUAAACAAUGUUGGCGGCUCAUUGAUAAUUAUGAUUCACUAUGUGCAAAAGUUUUAAGAUCAAAGUACUAUCCUUUUGGUGACUUGUUAAACUUUGAUUUAAAGAAGGGAUCCUCCUAUGCAUGGCAAAGCAUUUGGUCAGGAACCCAGACUUUUAAAAAGGGCCACAUAUGGAGAGUUGGAAACGGAUUGAAAAUCAAUAUUUGGGAGGACUGUUGGAUACCAAACAGUAGCUCCCGAAAGAUUAUCAUGGCUCGUGGUAAUUGUGUUCUCACUACAGUUAAUGAGCCCAUAAGUCUAGUCACGGGAGAAUGGGAUGAAGCAUUGAUCCGUGAUAAUUUCUGGCAUAUUGAUGCUGAGAGAAUUCUGAAAAUUCCAAUAUUUCAGCAGGACACUGAGGAUUUUAUUGCUUGGCACCUCACAAAAUCAGGCAUAUUCAGUGUCCGCUCAGCAUACUAUAGGCAGUGGAAGGAAUGCUACGAAUCCAAUAAUGCGAACCCAAUUGGUAUUCGAGGUUCCUCACCUCAUCCAGUAUGGAAAAGGCUAUGGAAUUUGAAAGCACAGGGAAAGGUGAAAAUUUUCCUGUGGAGAUGUCUGCAUGACGCAAUUCCCUGCCAUUGUGCGCUAGCUAAUAGGCACAUAUCACAAUCUGCUUAAUGCCCUAUUUGCUCAUGAUUUGCAGAAGAUAUAGUACAUCUCUUACUUAAAUGUGAUAGAGCACAUGACAUUUGGAGGGGGCUCAGACUGCAUGAAAUAAUA